CAACUUUCACCAGUGGAUGUCUAGGCUCGCACAUCGAUGAAAAACGCUGCGAACUGCGAUACGUAAUGCGAAUUGCAGGAUUCAGUGAGUCAUCGAAAUUUUGAACGCAUAUUGCACUU
Molecule: ribosomal RNA, 119 nt
Filed under: Phytophthora drechsleri
Lineage: Eukaryota; Oomycota; Peronosporomycetes; Peronosporales; Peronosporaceae
Description: 5.8S ribosomal RNA
Rfam family: 5.8S ribosomal RNA
About the family: 5.8S ribosomal RNA (5.8S rRNA) is a component of the large subunit of the eukaryotic ribosome. It is transcribed by RNA polymerase I as part of the 45S precursor that also contains 18S and 28S rRNA. Functionally, it is thought that 5.8S rRNA may be involved in ribosome translocation.
Source: RNAcentral